AUGGCGGGCACGGUGGUGAGCAUGGCGCGAUCCAUGCUGGGCGCUGUCAUCAGCGUGGCCGCCUCCGCCGCCGCCACCGAGAUGAGCCUUCUCAUGGGCGUCCGCGACGACAUUCGGUUUAUGAAAAACGAGCUAGAGACGAUGCAGGCAUUUCUGGUGACCGCUGAAGCAGCCAAGGAAAAUAACAGGCAACUGCAGGUGUGGGCGAAGCAAGUAAGGGAUCUAGCCUAUGUCAUUGAGGAUUGCCUUGAUGAGUUUAUGGUGCAUGUGGGAAGCCGGAGCCGGUCUCGACGGCUGUUUAAGCUGAAAGACCGUCGUCGCAUUGCAAAACAGAUCCGUGGUCUCAAAGCAAGAGUUGAGGAAGUGAGCAACAGGAACACCCGCUAUAACUUUAUCAACACGGAUGCCUCCAGCAGUAUUGACGAGGCGAAUUCCUACAUGGAAGAUAUCCGCAGCCACUCAGCUAGCAACAUUGACGAGGCACAGCUUGUGGGCUUUGCUAAGACCAAAAAGGAGUUGAUUAAUAUGGUUGAUGUUAACUCUAGAUAUGGUCUUUCAAAGGUGAUAAGUGUCGUUGGCAUGGGUGGUUUAGGCAAGACUACUCUUGCCAGGAAAGUAUAUGAAAGUAAGGAAAACAUUGUAAAUAAAUUUGCUUGGUGUGCUUGGGUCACCAUAUCACAGUCAUUUUCCAAGAUGGAGAUGCUCAAGGGCAUGAUUAUGCAACUUUUGGGUCCCGAGUCACUGAGGAAAUGCUUGAAAGAUCUUGAAGGGAAGGCAGUGCAAGUAGAAGACCUCUCCAGGUACCUCAGAGAAAAUUUGGAGGACAAGAGGUACUUCAUUGUUCUCGAUGACCUAUGGACCAUAGAUUCUUGGAAUUGGAUCAAAGAUAUUGCUUUUCCUAUUAGAAACAACAAAGGUAGCCGAAUAAUAAUAACAACUCGAGAUGUUGGCUUGGCUGAGCAGUGCACUUCUGAAUCGCUUAUCUACCAGCUUAAACAUCUGCAAAUAAAGGAUGCCACACAUUUGCUACUAAGAAAGAGUAGGAAAACACAUGAAUACAUGAAAAAUGAUAAGGAAGUGAAGAUGGUGGUCAACAAAAUGGUAAAGAAGUGUGGUGGUCUGCCGUUGGCUAUACUCACUAUUGGAGGCAUGCUUGCCAGCAAAAAGGUGACAGAGUGGGAAAGUAUCUAUGAACAAAUCCCAUCAGAGCUCGAGAGCAACCCUAGCCUUGAAGCACUGAGGAAGAUAGUUACUCUGAGCUACAACAACUUGCCGUCUCAUCUCAAGUCAUGCUUUCUAUAUCUAAGCAUCUUUCCUGAGGAUUUUGAAAUCAAAAGGAGGCGUCUAGUAGACAGAUGGAUAGCCGAGGGGUUUGUUACAGCCAGAGGUGGAGUAAACAUCGAGGAUGUUGGAAUAAGUUAUUUCACCGAGCUAAUCAACCGAAGCAUGAUUCAACCCUCGAAAGUGAACAUGGAAGGAAAUAUUAAGAGCUGUCGAGUCCAUGAUAUCAUGCGUGAUGUGAUGAUCUCAAUAUCUAGGGAUGAAAUUUUUGUGCACUUGGUAGGAGAUAAUGCUACUGCUGUAGCAGACUGUAACUACCACCAUGUAGCAUUCCAUGGUAGCAAGCGCCAAAAGAUCGGCAUGGAUUGUAUCCAUGUUCGUUCAUUAACCGUGUUUGGUGAAAGAUCCAUGGAGCCAUCAGCUUCACUUUUUUCAUCUAAGUUGAGAAUGCUUAGAGCCCUUGACCUAGAAGAUGGGGAUUUUGUUGUCAGACAGGAAGACAUCAACAACAUAGGGUCACUGCGCCACUUGAAAUAUCUGACUGUUAGGCCUUUUGGUGAGUGUUCAAAUUUGCAUAAACUGCCAGGAUCUAUUGGCAAGUUACAAGGCUUGCAGAGUUUGGACUUGGGAUACAGCUGUAUUAAAACACUACCAACUGAGAUUGGUAAACUUGAAGGUCUUCGUACGCUCCGGUGCAGAAAAAAUGAAUAUUUUAAAUAUUAUGAUUAUUUCAAAUAUUUGAGUGAGAACAUGGAGAAAUACAAGUGCAUGGGUGGUAUAUUGUGUAUACCCAUGGUAUGCUCUAGUGGGUUUCCAAGUGGUGCGCGUGAAGAAAAAGAGGGUGCUGUAGCGUUGCGUCAAGGAAUCAGUAACUUAAAAGAGUUACAGAUACUAGAGUACGUGGACAUCGAAAGAACAAGUAGCAGAGCAAUCGAAGAGCUUGGGGAGCUUACACAACUAAAGAAAUUGAGAGUGACUACGGAAGGGGCAACCGAGGAAAAAUGCAAGCUAUUCUGGGAGGCCAUUGGGAAGCUCCCUUGUCUUUACUCUCUUCAUGUGGAUGGUAACAAUAUCGAGUGGCUGGGUUCUGCUUCCUUUGCUCCCCCCCUCAUGAGGACCCUGAGAUUGAAAGGAAAUAUUGUAGAGGUGCCCAACUGGGUUGGUAGUCUGAGGCAUUUGGUGAAGAUUAUAUUCUGUGGGUCCGUAGAAAAAGAAGGAGAAAAAACCAUGGAGAUGCUAGGGGCACUGCCCAACCUCAUGCUCGUUGAUCUCUCGUUUUAUUAUGGUGUUCGAGAGGAGCUAGUGUUUGUGUCGGAAGCAUUUCCAAGUCUCAGGAUACUUCGUAUGCACUUCCGGCAUGAUAUGAGAAUGGUGAGAUACGAGGAGGGCACCAUGCCCCACAUUGCAGAGCUAUAUUUACAUUUCACCUUCCAAAACUCUGUACGGAUUACUGGCAUCAAACACCUUCCAAAGAUCAAGGAGAUUUCAAUUCGAAUCCCCAGGGUGCUGAAUAAUUUUGAGCUGCACCAGGAAGUGAAAUCACACCCAAACCAUCCUGUGAUGCGAGUGUCAUUCCGAGACCGGGGUACUACCACCGUAGGAGGAUCAAAUGUUGUAGAGGUGGAAGAAGCAAUGGGGGAAUCAUCAGCUGUACUUUCCGAGCACGGAGCAGCACGAGAGAGCUACUUAGAUGUGCAGACAGGGAGCGACAGUGAAGAUGAUCUGCGGUGA
RNAcentral lists this ribosomal RNA (3012 nucleotides) under Triticum aestivum (bread wheat). RNAcentral's name for it is "partial small subunit ribosomal RNA". The record is from RNAcentral. Lineage: Eukaryota; Viridiplantae; Streptophyta; Magnoliopsida; Poales; Poaceae.